GUCCAUUUUUAGCGAUUUUUUCUAUUUCUCAUAAGUCGGCAAAAAACAGCAAAAAAGUAAAGCUAUAGGCUUAACUUUUCGUCCAUUUUUAGCGAUUUUUUCUAUAUCUCAUAAGUGGGCAAAAAACAGCAAAAAAGUAAGGCUAUAGGCUUAACUUUUCGUCCAUUUUUAGGGACUUUUUCUAUUUCUCAUAAGUGGGCAAAAAACAGCAAAAAAGUAAGGCUAUAGGCUUAACUUUUCGUCCAUUUUUAGCGAUUUUUUCUAUUUCUCAUAAGUGGGCAAAAAACAGCAAAAAAGUAAGGCUAUAGGCUUAACUUUUCGUCCAUUUUUAGCGAUUUUUUCUAUUUCUCAUAAGUCGGCAAAAAACAGCAAAAAAGUAAGGCUAUAGAUAGGCUUUACUUUUCGUUCAUUUUGACGACUUUUUUCAUAGAGGGACAAAAAAACAGCAAAAAGGUUAGAUGCUGUUCUUCUUUGUUGUCUGUUCUUUCUUCAAUGUUCUUCUUUGAACAUUGGCUGUAGAUAUGUAGAUACUUGUACCCGAGCCAUUGCUUGUUUUGUUGUUCUGGGUACAAUGAAAUCUGGCAUAAAUCCUGGGGGGUCUAAAUGUUCAGUAUAUUUAGACAUUCCAUGUAUUUUCUGUUCAGUAGACUUUGAUAGCUUGAACGAAAGUUUAUAACAAUGAUUUUCUUUGCAAAAACUGUACUUUCGGAUUUCGUCGGCUUCUGAAUUUGAAAACCAGCGACUAGGUCCCCUCUCUUAUGGCGGGAAUCGCGACUCAAGGCGGUUGCAUGCGGAUAAUAUGGUCCGUCGCGAGCGCAAAAUAGNNNNNNNNNNNNNNNNNNNNUUUUGCUGUUUUUUGCCCACUUAUGAGAAAUAGAAAAAAUCGCUAAAAAUGGACGAAAAGUUAAGCCUAUAGCCUUACUUUUUUGCUGUUUUUUGCCCACUUAUGAGAAAUAGAAAAAGUCCCUAAAAAUGGACGAAAAG
This 984-nucleotide long non-coding RNA is filed under the name Paramuricea clavata. Lineage: Eukaryota; Metazoa; Cnidaria; Anthozoa; Malacalcyonacea; Plexauridae. The record is from RNAcentral.